RNAcentral lists this long non-coding RNA (1135 nucleotides) under Malus domestica (apple). RNAcentral describes it as "long non-coding RNA (MDOM_LNC016595)". The record is from RNAcentral. Lineage: Eukaryota; Viridiplantae; Streptophyta; Magnoliopsida; Rosales; Rosaceae.
UUUUGUUUUUAACAAAUGAUAUAUCUACACUAAGGGAGAUGGGGUGGGCUUAGCCUCACAAUUGACUAGCAAUAAUGUGAUUCAAUGAAUUGUUUAUUAAAUAUUAUUUUCUCUAUUCUUAAUGUAAAUUCUAUAUAAACCAAUUAUAUUAUGUGAAUUCAGAUGUUUUAAUUGGUUUAUGAGGUGUUUCUUCUAGCAUACUUCAAAUAUUUAACUUUCAUUUUGUCAAUUUACGCAUAUAAAUACAUUUAAAACGUGUAAGUCGCGCGUAACACGCCAUGAUUCAAAAAAUGUCUUUUGCACACGCGUGAGGACAUGCGUGAAGGCUAGUAUCUAAUAGAGAGAGAGAUGACGCUUUUUCCCAUAAAAAAUGAGUGGAAAACGAAAAAAAUGGAAUUAUGAAUAUGUAUUGAGAAAUGCUAAGUAGACUCUCUUAAAGUGACACUUUCCUUAGACUUUCUAUCACCUCACAGUUUAACGUUAAUUUUGUGUCAAAUUAUAAAACAUUGUGCAAAAAACAUGAGGAGGUAAAAAAUCCAUGAAGAGUCCUACUUUUAAGAAUCACCUUAGCAUUUCUCAUAUAUGUUUCUUUAUUUUCAUUAAAAUACUCCCAAAACUCGGCUAUUACAUUCAAAAAUGAAAACGUUCAUUUUUCUGUUAAGUGAGUUCUCUUUCCUACGUAAUCACCUUAAUUAUUCACCCAAAAAUAUGUGAGCAAUUGAAUAUCAGAGUGCGCAACGAACAAGACUACAAAAUAAUAGGAAUAUUAUUAAACAAAUGAGAAUGCUGGAAUGGCUACAAAACCCUAAGAGACUACAUUGUGAAUGACUUGUUUUCAUGCUAAACUACAAGCUAUAUUUAUAGAGAGCAAAACCUAAGAAACCCUAACUCAGAUGGGUUAGGCCCAAUUCCUAAACUAACAAGCAAAACCCAAAUACUAAAAUAAACAUAAAUACUAAUAUUUUCCAACACCCCCGGCGGUAAACGACAUGAGUUUGCAAACAAUAAGAUGUGGACUAGCAGACAUGUAAACUUGACUUGACUGGAAAAUUGGCAAAUUUGACUUGAUUCUUGACUUAAUUCUUGACUUGACUUGACUGGCAAACUGGUUCUUGAUUCUUAAUUCUUGCUGGCA